This 57-nucleotide microRNA precursor is filed under the name Echinops telfairi (small Madagascar hedgehog). Its description in RNAcentral is "Ete-Mir-150_pre stem-loop". Lineage: Eukaryota; Metazoa; Chordata; Mammalia; Afrosoricida; Tenrecidae. The record is from RNAcentral.
UCUCCCAACCCUUGUACCAGUGCUGCCCCUCAGACACUGGUACAGGUGUGGGGGCCA